RNAcentral lists this ribosomal RNA (232 nucleotides) under uncultured bacterium. Its description in RNAcentral is "partial 16S ribosomal RNA". It matches the Rfam family "Bacterial small subunit ribosomal RNA", at positions 30 to 260 of the family's 1533-position model. The record is from RNAcentral.
AUUGAACGCUGGCGGCGUGCUUAACACAUGCAAGUCGAGCGGUAAGGCCCUUUCGGGGGUACGACGAGCGGCGAACGGGUGAGUAACACGUGGGUGACCUGCCCUCAGCUCUGGGAUAAGCCUGGGAAACCGGGUCUAAUACCGGAUAUGACUCCAUGACGCAUGUUGUGGGGUGGAAAGCCUUGUGCGGCUGAGGAUGGGCCCGCGGCCUAUCAGCUUGUUGGGGGGGUGA